RNAcentral lists this ribosomal RNA (776 nucleotides) under uncultured Neocallimastigales. Its description in RNAcentral is "partial large subunit ribosomal RNA". It matches the Rfam family "Eukaryotic large subunit ribosomal RNA", at positions 19 to 646 of the family's 3401-position model. The record is from RNAcentral. Lineage: Eukaryota; Fungi; Neocallimastigomycota; Neocallimastigomycetes; Neocallimastigales.
CGAGCACGCGCGUGUGGCAUAUCAAUAAGCGGAGGAAAAGAAACUAACAAGGAUUCCCUUAGUAACGGCGAGUGAAGCGGGAAGAGCUCAAAUUUGAAAUCUUCAAGGUUCUACCUUGACGAAUUGUAGUGUAUAGAAGUGUUUUCUGUUAGUAGAGUGGCAAAAGUUCUUUGGAAUAGGACAUCAUAGAGGGUGAGAAUCCGUAUUUGGUCAUUCUUUCUAGCUUUGUGAUACACUUUCAACGAGUCGGAUUGUUUGGGAAUGCAGUCCAAAAUGGGUGGUAAAUUUCAUCCUAAAGCUAAAUAUUGGCGAGAGACCGAUAGCGAACAAGUACCGUGAGGGAAAGAUGAAAAGAACUUUGAAAAGAGAGUUAAACAGUACGUGAAAUUGUCAAAAGGGAAGCGUUUGACACCAGUGUUGUUUUUCCGAAAAUCAAUUACGAAUGUUUUGUUUUUGAGGAGUUAUGACUUCAUCGGCUUGCUUCUUUCUUUAUGAAACUUUCUUAAUGCACUUUUCGGUUAACAAGUCAACAUCAAUUUCUUUUGUUGUAAAAGAGUAUGAGGAAGGUGGCUUUCUUUUCAGGAGAAAGUGUUUAUAGCCUUGUACCUCUGCAAUCGGAGAGAUUGAGGUCUGCAGCGUAGAUCCUUCGGGGUUAGAUACAUUUGUGCUAAGUUAUAGCUUGUCAUAGACAACUUGUUGACUAUGUUAGUCAUUGUAGCUUACUCGCAGUAUGCUAUUUUACCUACGCUUAGGAUGUUGAUGUGAUACUGCGAGCA